Molecule: ribosomal RNA, 208 nt
Filed under: uncultured bacterium
Lineage: Bacteria
Description: partial 16S ribosomal RNA
Rfam family: Bacterial small subunit ribosomal RNA
Source: RNAcentral
CGCGUAGGCGGCAUGGUACGGUUCGGGUGAAAUCCCACGGCUCAACCGUGGAACUGCCCGAGCAUCGGCCAUGCUAGACGGCAUCAGGGGGAGGUGGAACUCCGGGUGGAGCGGUGAAAUGCGUAGAUAUCCGGAGGAACGCCGGUGGCGAAAGCGACCUCCUGGGGUGAUCGUGACGCUGAGGCGCGAAAGCUAGGGGAGCGAACGG